UGAGCUCGAUGAGUAGGGCGGGACACGUGGUAUCCUGUCUGAAUAUGGGGGGACCAUCCUCCAAGGCUAAAUACUCCUGACUGACCGAUAGUGAACCAGUACCGUGAGGGAAAGGCGAAAAGAACCCCGGCGAGGGGAGUGAAAAAGAACCUGAAACCGUGUACGUACAAGCAGUGGGAGCACAGAGCAAUCUGUGUGACUGCGUACCUUUUGUAUAAUGGGUCAGCGACUUAUAUUCUGUAGCAAGGUUAACCGAAUAGGGGAGCCGAAGGGAAACCGAGUCUUAACUGGGCGUUAAGUUGCAGGGUAUAGACCCGAAACCCGGUGAUCUAGCCAUGGGCAGGUUGAAGGUUGGGUAACACUAACUGGAGGACCGAACCGACUAAUGUUGAAAAAUUAGCGGAUGACUUGUGGCUGGGGGUGAAAGGCCAAUCAAACCGGGAGAUAGCUGGUUCUCCCCGAAAGCUAUUUAGGUAGCGCCUCGUGAAUUCAUCUCCGGGGGUAGAGCACUGUUUCGGCAAGGGGGUCAUCCCGACUUACCAACCCGAUGCAAACUGCGAAUACCGGAGAAUGUUAUCACGGGAGACACACGGCGGGUGCUAACGUCCGUCGUGAAGAGGGAAACAACCCAGACCGCCAGCUAAGGUCCCAAAGUCAUGGUUAAGUGGGAAACGAUGUGGGAAGGCCCAGACAGCCAGGAUGUUGGCUUAGAAGCAGCCAUCAUUUAAAGAAAGCGUAAUAGCUCACUGGUCGAGUCGGCCUGCGCGGAAGAUGUAACGGGGCUAAACCAUGCACCGAAGCUGCGGCAGCGACGCUGAUGCGUUGUUGGGUAGGGGAGCGUUCUGUAAGCCUGUGAAGGUGUGCUGUGAGGCAUGCUGGAGGUAUCAGAAGUGCGAAUGCUGACAUAAGUAACGAUAAAGCGGGUGAAAAGCCCGCUCGCCGGAAGACCAAGGGUUCCUGUCCAACGUUAAUCGGGGCAGGGUGAGUCGACCCCUAAGGCGAGGCCGAAAGGCGUAGUCGAUGGGAAACAGGUUAAUAUUCCUGUACUUGGUGUUACUGCGAAGGGGGGACGGAGAAGGCUAUGUUGGCCGGGCGACGGUUGUCCCGGUUUAAGCGUGUAGGCUGGUUUUCCAGGCAAAUCCGGAAAACUAAGGCUGAGGCGUGAUGACGAGGCACUACGGUGCUGAAGCAACAAAUGCCCUGCUUCCAGGAAAAGCCUCUAAGCAUCAGGUAACAUCAAAUCGUACCCCAAACCGACACAGGUGGUCAGGUAGAGAAUACCAAGGCGCUUGAGAGAACUCGGGUGAAGGAACUAGGCAAAAUGGUGCCGUAACUUCGGGAGAAGGCACGCUGAUAUGUAGGUGAAGUCCCUCGCGGAUGGAGCUGAAAUCAGUCGAAGAUACCAGCUGGCUGCAACUGUUUAUUAAAAACACAGCACUGUGCAAACACGAAAGUGGACGUAUACGGUGUGACGCCUGCCCGGUGCCGGAAGGUUAAUUGAUGGGGUCAGCGCAAGCGAAGCUCUUGAUCGAAGCCCCGGUAAACGGCGGCCGUAACUAUAACGGUCCUAAGGUAGCGAAAUUCCUUGUCGGGUAAGUUCCGACCUGCACGAAUGGCGUAAUGAUGGCCAGGCUGUCUCCACCCGAGACUCAGUGAAAUUGAACUCGCUGUGAAGAUGCAGUGUACCCGCGGCAAGACGGAAAGACCCCGUGAACCUUUACUAUAGCUUGACACUGAACAUUGAGCCUUGAUGUGUAGGAUAGGUGGGAGGCUUUGAAGUGUGGACGCCAGUCUGCAUGGAGCCGACCUUGAAAUACCACCCUUUAAUGUUUGAUGUUCUAACGUUGACCCGUAAUCCGGGUUGCGGACAGUGUCUGGUGGGUAGUUUGACUGGGGCGGUCUCCUCCUAAAGAGUAACGGAGGAGCACGAAGGUUGGCUAAUCCUGGUCGGACAUCAGGAGGUUAGUGCAAUGGCAUAAGCCAGCUUGACUGCGAGCGUGACGGCGCGAGCAGGUGCGAAAGCAGGUCAUAGUGAUCCGGUGGUUCUGAAUGGAAGGGCCAUCGCUCAACGGAUAAAAGGUACUCCGGGGAUAACAGGCUGAUACCGCCCAAGAGUUCAUAUCGACGGCGGUGUUUGGCACCUCGAUGUCGGCUCAUCACAUCCUGGGGCUGAAGUAGGUCCCAAGGGUAUGGCUGUUCGCCAUUUAAAGUGGUACGCGAGCUGGGUUUAGAACGUCGUGAGACAGUUCGGUCCCUAUCUGCCGUGGGCGCUGGAGAACUGAGGGGGGCUGCUCCUAGUACGAGAGGACCGGAGUGGACGCAUCACUGGUGUUCGGGUUGUCAUGCCAAUGGCACUGCCCGGUAGCUAAAUGCGGAAGAGAUAAGUGCUGAAAGCAUCUAAGCACGAAACUUGCCCCGAGAUGAGUUCUCCCUGACUCCUUGAGAGUCCUGAAGGAACGUUGAAG
This 2465-nucleotide ribosomal RNA is filed under the name Escherichia coli. RNAcentral's name for it is "partial 23S ribosomal RNA". It matches the Rfam family "Bacterial large subunit ribosomal RNA", at positions 400 to 2843 of the family's 2925-position model. The record is from RNAcentral. Lineage: Bacteria; Pseudomonadati; Pseudomonadota; Gammaproteobacteria; Enterobacterales; Enterobacteriaceae.